UCUCCUCUCGCCUCCCUUUUCUUUUGUGAUUCCAUUCCUCUCUCACGCCAAACCUCUAAUCCCUGUUUCUUUGCAGGUCCUUAAAGUACUCCAUGUCAUUGGGUCUAUUAUCCUUCCAAACCAAUAGCAAGGGGGCCCUGUUGCAACGAAAGAUGAAGCUUGGUUAUCCAAUCAUCAACCCUCGAGAGUGAGAUCAAGGAUCCUCCUCUAGAAGAAUUCCAGAAGUUCA
RNAcentral lists this long non-coding RNA (229 nucleotides) under Phoenix dactylifera (date palm). RNAcentral describes it as "long non-coding RNA (PDAC_LNC012846)". The record is from RNAcentral. Lineage: Eukaryota; Viridiplantae; Streptophyta; Magnoliopsida; Arecales; Arecaceae.